RNAcentral lists this long non-coding RNA (2401 nucleotides) under Homo sapiens (human). Its description in RNAcentral is "non-protein coding LINC00402:5". Lineage: Eukaryota; Metazoa; Chordata; Mammalia; Primates; Hominidae. The record is from RNAcentral.
AUGGCAACUGUUCUGCUUUCAGCAGCUACUUUUCUGGUUUGAAGGGGGGAAGAAGUUUUUCUGGGAAGAGCAGAACACAGGAGUUGGGGUGCAGACCUCCUGGAUCACCAGCAGAAGGAAAAGAGCAGUGAGACGUUAAAGUGAUUGAGACAAAAAUGGAAGUAAAACAGCUUAAGGCUUUCUGAGAUCGAGUUCCUGGCAGUGUCAUCAGCAGAUGGUUUCUUCUGAAGUUCAGGGGAAGAGAAGAUGCUCGAAGAACUCUCCAGGGACUGAGUGGGUGGUACAGAGCUAGUGCUGUAGAUGCCAUGUAUACAGGCAAAUUCCCCAAUGAGUGUUUUCCAAUAUCAAGUUUAACUGGCAUUUAAGAUAUAUGCCAAAGGUAGGUAAAUUAUUUUGGCCUGUGCUUAUAGGUUUAUUUCCCUGGAUGAAGCUUUCUGUCUCUGUCCUAGUGCACUGUAGCAGAUGCAGGGUCUUUCCAUACAAUACAUUAAAAGCUGCAUCUCAUUUUAAAUAUAUUAUAGAAACCCUGAUCAUACAAUACAUACAAGAUUUUUAAGAUCAGCCUUCAGUCGAUUUUUUUGCUUUAUUUUUGUUCUGGAGGUCAAAAUGAGUGGUUAACUGUCUAAGUUGAUUGCAGAGAAAGUUACUACUCAUUCUAAACGUAGGUUUUUAGAAAAGUGUUCUUGGCAGUUGCUACCAUUGGCUUUUUCCAACUUACAUGGGAAUCAAGAUUCAGAACUGGUACACCAAUGGGAAGAGCCUGGAAAAUAGACUAUUGAUCAAGAUGAAUCUGGUCCAGAUACUUUAAGACCUUUUCAGUGUGUUUUUAAGAUUAUAAGUUUGAACUAACAGAAACUUCAAUGCUGUUUUUUCACAAGUCAAUGUGUAGUGUACUGUUAUUCUUUUUUUUCCUGUAAUAUCUUAAUAAUAUUCCUGGCUGUAAGAAAAAGUUAACACUAUACCUAUGUUUUGACUUACUUUAUAGAAGACCCAAACAAUAUUUAACAAAAGGAUUUUUCUCAAAUACUAUUUUGAAAUCACUAUAUUAGACACUAUCUUAAAUUUAUUUCUCAAUUUGCUUCUUUUUGAAACUUCCACAUUUUGGUGUUCUUUUCAGCAUCACUCAUUUUCUUUCAUAAUAAAGAUACCCAAUAACAAUAUCAUAAUAAAGAUUUGAUAACAAAUCUCCAGUUUUGGAGUGUUACAUUUCAUAUCUACAUGCUUACAGAGAAUUUAGUAUGAAUAUUCCCUGGCCUUAGUUCCUCUAAGCCUAGGAUACUUGUAGUCAUUUGGCAAAUAAUUUAAUCCAUGGCAAACAUGAGUCUUAAUACAAAAAUUAUUGAGUAGGCAAAAAAUAAUUGAACAUAUUUUGGACUGAUUACCAGUGCAUUAAAAAAGUAGAGGUUUAAGGAUGAGAAUAAUAAGUUUUUUUGUUUUUACUUAAAUUUAUAUAAAAGGAGUGAAAAUACAGUAGCCUAUAGUACUUAAGAGUGUGGGUAUAUUUUCAGCACUUAAUAAUUACUAGUUGAAUUGCAUAAUAUGGGACUAUAACUGAUAUGGUUUGGCUCUGUGUCCCCGCCCAAAUCUCAUGUUGAAUUAUAAUUUCCAAUAUUGGAGGAGGUACCUAGUGGGAGGUGACUGGAUCAUUGGGGGAAAUUUCCCCCUUGCUGUCCUCAUGAUAGUGAGUGAGUUCUCACAAGAUCUGAUGGUUUAAAAGUGUGUGGCAUUUCCCCCUUUACUCUUUCUCUCUCCUGCUGGCCAUGAGAAUAAGUGCUUGCUUCCCAUUCACCUUCUGCCAUGCUUGUGUUUCCUGAGGCUUCCCAGCCAUGCUUCUUGUUCAAGCUGCAGAACUGUGAGUCAAUUAAACCUCAUUUCUUCAUAAAUUACCCAGUCUCAGCUCUUUAUGGGAGUGUGAGAAUGGACUAAUAAAAUAUCUCUAGAAUUAUGUUUUUGGAGAUAAUUUAAAGAUAAACAAAUAUUGGAAACCUCAUUUGAUCACACAGAGAACAGUAAAUGGAAGUUCUACUUUUUCUCCAGGGCCUUUCUCAUGCUUAUGCAGGGAUUAUUCACCCAGAUAUCCUGAAAUAAGACAUCCAAUUAAGGUACCUGCUAUCUCAUGUAACACAGAAGAAAGUUGAGCAUAGAGGUUAAACAUUACCUAAUAUUGUUGGAAAAGCUUCGAAGCGUUCAUUUUCAAAGCAGCUAAUGUAAACCAUGAUAAUCACUAGUAGCACUAUGCCAUUUUAAAUACUUCAAUAUUUUGUAGUUAUUAGAUUCUAAGUAAGUAUAAAAUGUAGUGAAUACAAAUUUUAUUUGCCUAAACAGUGUUAGACAAUAUAAAUUAACGAGUUAUUUUUUAUUCUGUUUAAUAUUUUCAAGCCAAUAAACACUUUACUAAAGU